CCUACGGGAGGCAGCAGUGGGGAAUAUUGGGCAAUGGAGGAAACUCUGACCCAGCGACGCCGCGUGCGGGAUGAAGGCCUUCGGGUUGUAAACCGCUUUCAGUAGGGAAGAAGCGAAAGUGACGGUACCUACAGAAGAAGCACCGGCUAACUAUGUGCCAGCAGCCGCGGUAAUACAUAGGGUGCAAGCGUUGUCCGGAAUUAUUGGGCGUAAAGAGCUCGUAGGUGGUUCGUCACGUCGGAUGUGAAAAUCUGGGGCUCAACCCCAGACCUGCAUUCGAUACGGGCGAUCUAGAGUGUGGUAGGGGAGACUGGAAUUCCUGGUGUAGCGGUGGAAUGCGCGGAUAUCAGGAGGAACACCAAUGGCGAAGGCAGGUCUCUGGGCCAUUACUGACACUGAGGAGCGAAAGCGUGGGGAGCGAACAGGAUUAGAUACCCUGGUAGUCCACGCCGUAAACGGUGGGCACUAGUUGUGGGAACCUUCCACGGUUUCUGCGACGCAGCUAACGCAUUAAGUGCCCCGCCUGGGGAGUACGAUCGCAAGAUUAAAACUCAAAGGAAUUGACGG
Molecule: ribosomal RNA, 567 nt
Filed under: uncultured bacterium
Lineage: Bacteria
Description: bacterial SSU rRNA
Rfam family: Bacterial small subunit ribosomal RNA
Source: RNAcentral